This is a long non-coding RNA of Numida meleagris (helmeted guineafowl), 357 nucleotides long. RefSeq lists it as uncharacterized. The record is from RefSeq and is a predicted model, not a curated record. Lineage: Eukaryota; Metazoa; Chordata; Aves; Galliformes; Numididae. The transcript has 2 exons.
UUUGCAAAGGUGGAAUGUGUUUAAAGAUGCAGUGCUUCCACUGUCUCAUCGAAGUCCCGACCAGCUGUGGAGGUAUGAAGCCCACCCAGAGGGCCGUGAGGAACUCUCUUCCUCACCUGGAGGAGGAGAAAUACAUUCUAUUCCUGACUUGAUCUCUAAAAUUGUUCCGGAGAGCUUCAUUCUGGGCUGUCAGCUGACUCAAAGCCUGAGCAUGCUCUGUUUUCAUGACCAUAUUCUCGGAUUGUAUUGUGCAGAACCUGAAAACCGCGUAAACACAAAAUACAAGAAACGUACAACAAAACUCAUUCUUCACAUUUCAAAUUUGCUUACAGAUUAAAUUAGUUUUCAGUUUUCAUA